This 511-nucleotide ribosomal RNA is filed under the name uncultured bacterium. RNAcentral describes it as "bacterial SSU rRNA". It matches the Rfam family "Bacterial small subunit ribosomal RNA", at positions 29 to 517 of the family's 1533-position model. The record is from RNAcentral.
AGCGAACGUUAGCGGCGGGCCUAACACAUGCAAGUCGAACGCGAAAGGUCUUCGGACCGAGUAGAGUGGCGCACGGGUGAGUAACACGUAGGUAAUCUACCCUUUGGCGGGGGAUAACGUUCCGAAAGGAGCGCUAAUACCGCAUAAGACCACGGAGUCUCCGGACGCUGUGGGAAAAGGUGGCCUCUUCUUGAAAGCUACCACCGAAGGAUGAGCCUGCGUCCCAUCAGCUAGUUGGUAAGGUAAUGGCUUACCAAGGCGAAGACGGGUAGCUGGUUUGAGAGAAUGAUCAGCCACACUGGCACUGGAACACGGGCCAGACUCCUACGGGAGGCAGCAGUGAGGAAUAUUGGGCAAUGGGCGAAAGCCUGACCCAGCCACGCCGCGUGAGUGAUGAAGGCCCUCGGGUCGUAAAGCUCUGUGGAGAGGGACGAAAACCCUGGUUUCAAAUAGGCUCCAGGCUUGACGGUACCUCUUUAGCAAGCACCGGCUAACUCUGUGCCAGCAGCCG